This 1161-nucleotide ribosomal RNA is filed under the name Triticum aestivum (bread wheat). Its description in RNAcentral is "partial small subunit ribosomal RNA". Lineage: Eukaryota; Viridiplantae; Streptophyta; Magnoliopsida; Poales; Poaceae. The record is from RNAcentral.
AUGGCGACCUCACUGGUGGCGGCGGCGGAGACGGCGCUGGAGGAUAUGCCGGAGGAUGCGCUGCUCGCGAUCCUGGCCUUCCUCGCGCCGGCCGACGCCGCCGCCGCCGCCUGCACCUGUCGAGCCCUCUUCGCCGCGGCGUCUUCCCCGGCGCUCCCGCUCGCGCUCGCGCUCCGCCUCGGCCUCCCGCCGCCGCGGCCCUCCCCUGAGGCCUGCCCGGCCUCCGUGCGUCGCCUCUUCCGCUCCCUCCACCGGCUACGCCGACUCCUCGGCCUUUGGCGCCGCCUCCCCUCCUCCCACUCCGGCUCGCCAUCCCUCGUCGCGUUCGAGUGGGCUCCGCGCGCCACUCUCGCUGCCUCCCUCCUCGCACCCUCCAACCGCGGCCUCGCCGUCUCCAAGUCCCCCUUUGUGACCCUCUCCGUCGCGGAAUCCGGUGACACGGUGGCGGCUCUCGGAGAGGUUCCGGUCUGCGUCAAUUUCGUCGGGGACAACCACAUUGUGGUGGAGGCGGCGUCGGGGGAAGAUGAGGAGGAGGGGAUGGAAGGAGGAUCGCCGCCGGAGGAGAUGUAUAUGCAUUUCGCGAACCGUAGGAGCCCCGGGGCAGGGAGGAGAAGGCGGGAGAGGCAGGGAAGGAGGAAAGGUGGUCGAAUGGAGCCUGAACACUUUGUGAGGAUUCCAGAUGCUGAGCCGACCAAAGCGCGGCCGCUGCAGGGCCUGUGGAAGGGUGUAUGCGAGAAUAAGACUCUGGAAUUUUACAUUAUCAGCUAUGACGACAUUGGUGGAGUGAGUUGUCGACGAGUUAGUGAGAAUAGGGGGCAAAACUCAGGCUACUCCCCUGUCUUCUGGACUACAGAUGCUACAUUUCUUGAACCACCAUUUUCUGAACGGGAGCUGGAUCGUUAUAGUUGCCUUGAGCAUAUUGGAGUCGUUACUUGUGGCCAUACAGAGACUUGGAACAAGGCAGUCUCUCGGAUACUGUGCAUCAAUUCAAGUUUUGACCUGGUUCAUCCUCAUCUGUUAGCUCCCUUUGAUGAUACCAGGAAUGUAGAGGGGAGGAUUUGGCUUUAUGAAGAUGGAACCUUUGGGUUCGGAUUCACUGGAAGUAAUUCAAUUAUAGAUCUGAAGCAUGUCUCCAUGGAUGGUUGUAUUAUUGAUACAUAA